Molecule: ribosomal RNA, 492 nt
Filed under: uncultured bacterium
Lineage: Bacteria
Description: partial 16S ribosomal RNA
Rfam family: Bacterial small subunit ribosomal RNA
Source: RNAcentral
AGUGAACGCUGGCGGUAGGCCUAACACAUGCAAGUCGAGCGGCAGCACAGUAAGAGCUUGCUCUUACGGGUGGCGAGUGGCGGACGGGUGAGGAAUACAUCGGAAUCUACUUUUUCGUGGGGGAUAACGUAGGGAAACUUACGCUAAUACCGCAUACGACCUACGGGUGAAAGCAGGGGAUCUUCGGACCUUGCGCGAUUGAAUGAGCCGAUGUCGGAUUAGCUAGUUGGCGGGGUAAAGGCCCACCAAGGCGACGAUCCGUAGCUGGUCUGAGAGGAUGAUCAGCCACACUGGAACUGAGACACGGUCCAGACUCCUACGGGAGGCAGCAGUGGGGAAUAUUGGACAAUGGGCGCAAGCCUGAUCCAGCCAUACCGCGUGGGUGAAGAAGGCCUCCGGGUUGUAAAGCCCUUUUGUUGGGAAAGAAAAGCAGCAGGUUAAUACCCCGCUGUUCUGACGGUACCCAAAGAAUAAGCACCGGCUAACUUCGUG